Non-coding RNA from Mycena galericulata, 92 nucleotides. The record is from the annotation of a GenBank genome assembly. NCBI's taxonomy places the organism in Eukaryota, Fungi, Basidiomycota, Agaricomycetes, Agaricales, Mycenaceae.
GUGGGUGUGGUGUAUGGUACACAGCUGCAGUAAAUUCUGAGGUUAGGACUUUGCAAGCAGCAGCAGACUGGGUUCGACUCCCAGCACCUGCA